RNAcentral lists this ribosomal RNA (741 nucleotides) under uncultured bacterium. RNAcentral describes it as "bacterial SSU rRNA". It matches the Rfam family "Bacterial small subunit ribosomal RNA", at positions 33 to 774 of the family's 1533-position model. The record is from RNAcentral.
ACGCUAGCGGGAGGCCUAACACAUGCAAGCCGAGCGGUAUUGUUUCUUCGGAAAUGAGAGAGCGGCGUACGGGUGCGGAACACGUGUGCAACCUGCCUUUAUCUGGGGGAUAGCCUUUCGAAAGGAAGAUUAAUACCCCAUAAUAUAUUGAAUGGCAUCAUUCGAUAUUGAAAACUCCGGUGGAUAGAGAUGGGCACGCGCAAGAUUAGAUAGUUGGUGAGGUAACGGCUCACCAAGUCAAUGAUCUUUAGGGGGCCUGGGAGGGUGAUCCCCCACACUGGUACUGAGACACGGACCAGACUCCUACGGGAGGCAGCAGUGAGGAAUAUUGGACAAUGGGUGAGAGCCUGAUCCAGCCAUCCCGCGUGAAGGACGACGGCCCUAUGGGUUGUAAACUUCUUUUGUAUAGGGAUAAACCUUCCCACGUGUGGAAAGCUGAAGGUACUAUACGAAUAAGCACCGGCUAACUCCGUGCCAGCAGCCGCGGUAAUACAGAGGGUGCAAGCGUUAUCCGGAUUUAUUGGGUUUAAAGGGUCCGUAGGCGGGCUCGUAAGUCAGUGGUGAAAUCUCAUAGCUUAACUAUGAAACUGCCAUUGAUACUGCGAGCCUUGAGUAAGGUAGAGGUAGCUGGAAUAAGUAGUGUAGCGGUGAAAUGCAUAGAUAUUACUUAGAACACCAAUUGCGAAGGCAGGUUACCAUGUCUUAACUGACGCUGAUGGACGAAAGCGUGGGGAGCGAAAC